CAGCAGCAGCCGCGGGAAUACGUAGGGUGCGAGCGUUAAUCGGAAUUACUGGGCGUAAAGCGUGCGCAGGCGGUUAUAUAAGACAGAUGUGAAAUCCCCGGGCUCAACCUGGGACCUGCAUUUGUGACUGUAUAGCUAGAGUACGGUAGAGGGGGAUGGAAUUCCGCGUGUAGCAGUGAGAUGCGUAGAUAUGCGGAGGAACACCGAUGGCGAAGGCAAUCCCCUGGACCUGUACUGACGCUCAUGCACGAAAGCGUGGGGAGCAAACAGGAUUAGAUACCCCAGUAGUCCCUGUCUCUUAUAA
RNAcentral lists this ribosomal RNA (304 nucleotides) under uncultured bacterium. Its description in RNAcentral is "partial 16S ribosomal RNA". It matches the Rfam family "Bacterial small subunit ribosomal RNA", at positions 506 to 809 of the family's 1533-position model. The record is from RNAcentral.